Molecule: ribosomal RNA, 395 nt
Filed under: uncultured bacterium
Lineage: Bacteria
Description: partial 16S ribosomal RNA
Rfam family: Bacterial small subunit ribosomal RNA
Source: RNAcentral
AUACGUAGGGUGCAAGCGUUAAUCGGAAUUACUGGGCGUAAAGCGUGCGCAGGCGGUUUUGUAAGACAGAGGUGAAAUCCCCGGGCUCAACCUGGGAACUGCCUUUGAGACUGCCAGGCUAGAGUACGGCAGAGGGGGGUGGAAUUUCCCGUGUAGCGGUGAAAUGCGUAGAUAUGCGGAGGAACACCGAUGGCGAAGGCAAUCCCCUGGGCCUGUACUGACGCUCAUGCACGAAAGCGUGGGGAGCAAACAGGAUUAGAUACCCGGGUAGUCCACGCCCUAAACGAUGUCAACUGGUUGUUGGGUCUUCAUUGACUCAGUAACGAAGCUAACGCGUGAAGUUGACCGCCUGGGGAGUACGGCCGCAAGGUUGAAACUCAAAGGAAUUGACGGGG